UUAUUCCUGAGGUACUGUCCUUGCUCAUCCCUCAGAAAAGUGCUUUACGACCCGAAGGCCUUCAUCGCACACGCGGCGUUGCUGCAUCAGGCUUUCGCCCAUUGUGCAAUAUUCCCUACUGCUGCCACCCGUAGGUGUAUGGACCGUGUUUCAGUUCCAUUGUGGGGGGUCACCCUCUCAGGUCCCCUACCCGUCGUAGCCUUGGUGAGCCAUUACCUCACCAACUAGCUGAUGGGACGCAGGUCCCUCCCAAAGCGAAUUGCUCCUUUAGUUAUCGGUUUCUAAAUCCAAUAACCACAUGCGGUAUUAGCAGUUCUUUCGAACUGUUAUCCCACACUUUGGGGUAGGUCACCAACGCGUUACUCACCCGUUCGCCACUAGGAUACUUCCGUAUUGCUACAAAAGCACCUCGUUCGACUUGCAUGUAUUAGGCACGCCGCCAGCGUUCAUCCUGAGCCAUGAUCAAACUCUAAUCGAAUUCCCGCGGCCGCCAUGGCGGCCGGGAGCAUGCGACGUCGGGCCCAAUUCGCCCUAUAGUGAGUCGUAUUACAUUCAYGCG
Molecule: ribosomal RNA, 559 nt
Filed under: uncultured Chloroflexota bacterium
Lineage: Bacteria; Bacillati; Chloroflexota
Description: uncultured Chloroflexi bacterium partial 16S ribosomal RNA
Source: RNAcentral